CCUGGCUCAGGAUGAACGCUAGCUACAGGCUUAACACAUGCAAGUCGAGGGGCAGCAUGGUCUUAGCUUGCUAAGGCCGAUGGCGACCGGCGCACGGGUGAGUAACACGUAUCCAACCUGCCGUCUACUCUUGGACAGCCUUCUGAAAGGAAGAUUAAUACAAGAUGGCAUCAUGAGUCCGCAUGUUCACAUGAUUAAAGGUAUUCCGGUAGACGAUGGGGAUGCGUUCCAUUAGAUAGUAGGCGGGGUAACGGCCCACCUAGUCUUCGAUGGAUAGGGGUUCUGAGAGGAAGGUCCCCCACAUUGGAACUGAGACACGGUCCAAACUCCUACGGGAGGCAGCAGUGAGGAAUAUUGGUCAAUGGGCGAGAGCCUGAACCAGCCAAGUAGCGUGAAGGAUGACUGCCCUAUGGGUUGUAAACUUCUUUUAUAAAGGAAUAAAGUCGGGUAUGCAUACCCGUUUGCAUGUACUUUAUGAAUAAGGAUCGGCUAACUCCGUGCCAGCAGCCGCGGUAAUACGGAGGAUCCGAGCGUUAUCCGGAUUUAUUGGGUUUAAAGGGAGCGCAGAUGGAUGUUUAAGUCAGUUGUGAAAGUUUGCGGCUCAACCGUAAAAUUGCAGUUGAUACUGGAUAUCUUGAGUGCAGUUGAGGCAGGCGGAAUUCGUGGUGUAGCGGUGAAAUGCUUAGAUAUCACGAAGAACUCCGAUUGCGAAGGCAGCCUGCUAAGCUGCAACUGACAUUGAGGCUCGAAAGCGUGGGUAUCAAACAGGAUUAGAUACCCUGGUAGUCCACACGGUAAACGAUGAAUACUCGCUGUUUGCGAUAUACUGCAAGCGGCCAAGCGAAAGCGUUAAGUAUUCCACCUGGGGGAGUACGCCGGCAACGGUGAAACUCAAAGAAAUUGACGG
RNAcentral lists this ribosomal RNA (907 nucleotides) under uncultured bacterium. Its description in RNAcentral is "bacterial SSU rRNA". It matches the Rfam family "Bacterial small subunit ribosomal RNA", at positions 18 to 916 of the family's 1533-position model. The record is from RNAcentral.